RNAcentral lists this ribosomal RNA (497 nucleotides) under uncultured bacterium. Its description in RNAcentral is "partial 16S ribosomal RNA". It matches the Rfam family "Bacterial small subunit ribosomal RNA", at positions 28 to 507 of the family's 1533-position model. The record is from RNAcentral.
GAUGAACGCUGGCGGCGUGCCUAAUACAUGCAAGUCGAGCGAACAGACGAGGAGCUUGCUCCUCUGACGUUAGCGGCGGACGGGUGAGUAACACGUGGAUAACCUACCUAUAAGACUGGGAUAACUUCGGGAAACCGGAGCUAAUACCGGAUAACAUGUUGAACCGCAUGGUUCAACAGUGAAAGACGGUCUUGCUGUCACUUAUAGAUGGAUCCGCGCCGCAUUAGCUAGUUGGUAAGGUAACGGCUUACCAAGGCAACGAUGCGUAGCCGACCUGAGAGGGUGAUCGGCCACACUGGAACGGAGACACGGUCCAGACUCCUACGGGAGGCAGCAGUAGGGAAUCUUCCGCAAUGGGCGAAAGCCUGACGGAGCAACGCCGCGUGAGUGAAGAAGGUCUUCGGAUCGUAAAACUCUGUUAUUAGGGAAGAACAAAUGUGUAAGUAACUAUGCACGUCCUGACGGUACCUAAUCAGAAAGCCACGGCUAACUACGUG